This 217-nucleotide ribosomal RNA is filed under the name uncultured bacterium. Its description in RNAcentral is "partial 16S ribosomal RNA". It matches the Rfam family "Bacterial small subunit ribosomal RNA", at positions 118 to 334 of the family's 1533-position model. The record is from RNAcentral.
UGAGCAAUCUGCCCUUCACAUCGGGAAUAACCAUUGGAAACGAUGGCUAAUACCGAAUAUGACUUCGGAUCGCAUGAUCUGAAGUGGAAAGCUCCGGCGGUGAAGGAUGAGCUCGCGGCCUAUCAGCUUGUUGGUGAGGUAAUAGCUCACCAAGGCGAUGGACGGGUAGCCGGCCUGAGAGGGUGAUCGGCCACACGUGGGACAGAGACCAGCCCAA